GUGAAUGUAGCUCAGCUGGUUAGAGCGCUGGCCUGUGAAGCCAGAGGUCGCGGGUUCAAAUCCCGUCAUUCACCCCA
Molecule: transfer RNA, 77 nt
Rfam family: tRNA
About the family: Transfer RNA (tRNA) molecules are approximately 80 nucleotides in length. Their secondary structure includes four short double-helical elements and three loops (D, anti-codon, and T loops). Further hydrogen bonds mediate the characteristic L-shaped molecular structure. tRNAs have two regions of fundamental functional importance: the anti-codon, which is responsible for specific mRNA codon recognition, and the 3' end, to which the tRNAs corresponding amino acid is attached (by aminoacyl-tRNA synthetases). tRNAs cope with the degeneracy of the genetic code in two manners: having more than one tRNA (with a specific anti-codon) for a particular amino acid; and 'wobble' base-pairing, i.e. permitting non-standard base-pairing at the 3rd anti-codon position.